This is a long non-coding RNA of Sebastes umbrosus (honeycomb rockfish), 190 nucleotides long. RefSeq lists it as uncharacterized. NCBI's taxonomy places the organism in Eukaryota, Metazoa, Chordata, Actinopteri, Perciformes, Sebastidae. The record is from RefSeq and is a predicted model, not a curated record. The transcript is spliced from 2 exons.
AUGUCUAGCAACACUAGGUUUAUUGGUUGUUGCCAACCCCUGUAUGUUUUGUAAACCGCUGUUUGUAGAUAAUUUAGUCAGCCUUUUGUUUUUUUGAUUUGUUGAUUUUGAUUCUUUGGCACAACCAUUUUGUCCCUACCUCCACCACAUUUGUUAACCUUUAGUUUUCCUUUAAUAAACCUUUAAUUUU